AGUUGGUCCGAUAGUAGAGGAUUAUCAGAACUUAUUAACAUUAAUGUCACUAUAGUUGGUAUACAACCCCCCCAACUGCUAAAUUUGACUGGUUUAAA
This 98-nucleotide Y RNA is filed under the name Microcebus murinus (gray mouse lemur). Its description in RNAcentral is "Y RNA (ENSMICG00000020059.3)". It matches the Rfam family "Y RNA". From Rfam's summary of the family: Y RNAs are components of the Ro ribonucleoprotein particle (Ro RNP), in association with Ro60 and La proteins. The Y RNAs and Ro60 and La proteins are well conserved, but the function of the Ro RNP is not known. The record is from Rfam by way of RNAcentral. Lineage: Eukaryota; Metazoa; Chordata; Mammalia; Primates; Cheirogaleidae.